Molecule: ribosomal RNA, 624 nt
Filed under: uncultured bacterium
Lineage: Bacteria
Description: bacterial SSU rRNA
Rfam family: Bacterial small subunit ribosomal RNA
Source: RNAcentral
GUCGAGCGCACUCUUCGGAGUGAGCGGCGGACGGGUUAGUAACGCGUGGGAACGUACCCAGAUCUACGGAAUAGCCUCGGGAAACUGAGAGUAAUACCGUAUACGCCCUUCGGGGGAAAGAUUUAUCGGAUUUGGAUCGGCCCGCGUUAGAUUAGAUAGUUGGUGAGGUAACGGCUCACCAAGUCUACGAUCUAUAGCUGGUUUUAGAGGAUGAUCAGCAACACUGGGACUGAGACACGGCCCAGACUCCUACGGGAGGCAGCAGUGGGGAAUCUUGGACAAUGGGCGCAAGCCUGAUCCAGCCAUGCCGCGUGAGUGAUGAAGGCCUUAGGGUCGUAAAGCUCUUUCGCCAGAGAUGAUAAUGACAGUAUCUGGUAAAGAAACCCCGGCUAACUCCGUGCCAGCAGCCGCGGUAAUACGGAGGGGGUUAGCGUUGUUCGGAAUUACUGGGCGUAAAGCGCGCGUAGGCGGACCAGAAAGUUAGGGGUGAAAUCCCGGGGCUCAACCCCGGAACUGCCUCUAAAACUCCUGAUCUAGAGUUCGAGAGAGGUGAGUGGAAUUCCGAGUGUAGAGGUGAAAUUCGUAGAUAUUCGGAGGAACACCAGUGGCGAAGGCGGCUCACUG